AGCUCCACCGUCUCGCCGAGUGCCAGCAAGAGUCAUGGGUACUUGUCAACUCGACUCCUCAACUGGAGAUAACUUUCUAGCACCUCACCAUGGGGAAGGAUGUAUUCAUAUGCCUUCACCAGCACAUGCAUUAAACAUGCAGAGAGUUACACAAGUUCUUACCACAUUGGGGCACCAUUCAGAUAA
Entelurus aequoreus (snake pipefish) is the source of this 186-nucleotide long non-coding RNA. RefSeq lists it as uncharacterized. NCBI's taxonomy places the organism in Eukaryota, Metazoa, Chordata, Actinopteri, Syngnathiformes, Syngnathidae. The record is from RefSeq and is a predicted model, not a curated record. The transcript has 3 exons.